Molecule: long non-coding RNA, 2305 nt
Organism: Halichondria panicea
Lineage: Eukaryota; Metazoa; Porifera; Demospongiae; Suberitida; Halichondriidae
Exons: 3
Source: RefSeq, a predicted model, not a curated record
AUAGUGGGCAACCUGUGCAGGGAAGAUAGAGUGGGCGGUGAAUUAGAGACAUCUCUAUACACAAUAUUUGGCUGACACAACCUGCAUGCAUUAAUGUUAUACCGUCUAUUACCGAUUAUACCCCCCAGACUCAUUAAUGCGUCAUGUCGGUAUGAUGCCAUAGACGCAUUUUUGUCAACCGCAGUAAUCCGGCUUCUCUCAGCUCUAAAGAAACCAGGGAGCGGCUGCUGCUAUUUUAACGCUACUACUACGUCCAGGUACUGUUCAGGCAAGUAUAUAUGCAGUCAAAACUUCCUACUGUGCAGAAAAUAUUUUGGCAAUACACGCUUGAAUAUGUAGCUAGUUUACAAAUUAAAUAUUAAUUAUUGGCAUGAACAAACACUAUCAAAAAAUUAUAUAGAGCUACUAGCAUGGCUAAGAGGCCACACUAGAUCAGUGAGGAGGUGCUGCAUGAAAUUGUAGGCUACCCACUAGCUCUGGGACCUGCACAGAUUGACAUAGAAGACCCAGUAGCCAGAGUACAGCAAGGUAACAGAGAUGUGCCAGUCAUGGAGGGCAGUGAUGAUGAGUUUUCUGAUUGAGAACAGUUUGGAGAGGAGCUUGAAGAUCUGGAUCGGACAUCGACACUGCAUGAGCUGACCACUGUUGUGAAAGUCCUACCACCAACGCCAACCUUCCUGUACAUGGCAUUGUCUGUGCGCGUGUAUGUGUAGGCGACUCCAAGGUACUCCAAAAGGGACCCAGUGGCAGUGAUCAAUUGACAGCGAAGUAUUCAUGGCAGUAGCCACAGACAUCAGACACUUUUUAUAUCUAUUGUUAGUUACGCAAAGAAUUAUAAUCGUUACUGAUGGUCCAAAAAAUGUUUUUCAAGGCUCGAAGAACGAAAGGCGAGGCUAUUAUUUUACUAUUCAAGGGCUAUAUAUAAUUACAUAAUAGGUUAUUGCAGUCAACAAACGUAAUACGUAUCCUGGCUCACCUCGCUGCUACUGCCACUGUUCCUCUGUUCACUGUACAUACGCGGCCCCACCUCUGAUUAUUGGAUCCAGCCACACCUACAUGUAGUGUACAUAUGUACACAAAGAAGGCUAAUCAAUGCUGCUUAGCACUACCAAUUCUAGAUACAACUACUAUCUACCAUGUACAGUCAGUACCAGACCAUAGAGCUUCUAGCGAUUCUACAAACGCAUGCAACAAGUACGAACAAGUACUAUAGCAACUACAACCGGUUGUAUUUUUAACAUUAAUUUUAUGCGCCUGAUUUUAAAUAAAUUGAAGUCUAUAAUAGGUGAUGCAGGCCCUAAAGUAGACUCUAAACAUUCAGUAGAGUCAACAUACAGCUUAGGAAGCUUGUACUCACCUUUUUACCACUGCCACUGUUUCUCUUUACACAUAGCUGCCUCUGGUUAUAAGCCACACCCAGUACCUUGUGUAGCUGCACAGAAAAAGGCUAAGCAACGCUUCUCAGCACUACAAACUCUACAGCUACGUCCUAUAUACUUAGUACAAUAAGUAUUAGGCUGUAUGAAGCUUCUAGCGAAUCGAAAAAGCCAUGUAACAAAGUAGUACUAUACGCAACUACUACUUACCGCUUGACAGAAGCAGAUCACAGCCAAACCUUCGAGAUAGUAAGCGAUUCGGGCAUCAUCUUGUAGAUCUUUGACUGGUCUUUCUUCCUAGUCUAACUUGCACAAUCAAAAGUCGAAGCGCUUUCAAGUUACGAACAGUUUUCUAAGAACUGAUUAAUUUGUGCAUUUUUUAAAAAUCAAUAUGGCUGCGGGGGUGUUCCCGCAACGUGACGUCAUGGCGUAUAUUCGGCUAUUUAAGGCACCACCAGAGGAGGUACGACACUCGGUUAAGCUCACAUGGCUGCUAUUUCUUGAUUGAAGGCAAGAAAGACAAAGAAGUCGUUAAAAAUUCAUUCCAUUCAGCUGGUGGCAAGUAAGCGCCAUAAAGAGACAAGUUUAGAGCAUACAACUCGUUGCUGGCUAGUAGCUAGAGUUUUACAAAUAGAGAUUAGAUUUGUUGUAAGAACCAAGGCUCAGAUGUUGGUAGUGAUCCUAUCCUGAAUGCAGGCACAGAAUACUUAUUAAAACAGAAUUACAAUAAUAUCUCAAAAUCUAAGUGGUGGCUAAAAUUGGUUGAAAAGCUAUUUCACAUCAGCAUAAACCAACAAUCAACCAGCCUGAUCUUAGAAACGUUAAGUGGAUUUCUUGAAAGAUACACGCCAAACCAAAUCCACUAUCAAAGUACAUACUCUUGAAUGCACAAGUUAAUGAGAUUUAUAAUCCUUUUGGCUAGUCAUGUG